UGGGGUGUUGCCAAGAGGUUAAGGCAUUGGUUUUUGAUAUCAAUAUGCAAAGGUUCGAAUCCUUUUAUCCCAA
Molecule: transfer RNA, 73 nt
Filed under: Rhizaria sp.
Lineage: Eukaryota
Description: tRNA-Gln
Rfam family: tRNA
About the family: Transfer RNA (tRNA) molecules are approximately 80 nucleotides in length. Their secondary structure includes four short double-helical elements and three loops (D, anti-codon, and T loops).
Source: RNAcentral